UAAAAGGAUAUUCCUGACAAGAAAAUUUUGUCAUGUGUGUCACAAAUAGAGCAACUUGAUUGUUCCUUGUAUAAUAAAUAUAAAGAUAUUUUAAAGGCAUAAUGGUUAAGUAAGUGAGCAGCUAGUGUUUGAUGGUCUUAGUGCACAU
Molecule: small nuclear RNA, 148 nt
Organism: Dipodomys spectabilis (banner-tailed kangaroo rat)
Lineage: Eukaryota; Metazoa; Chordata; Mammalia; Rodentia; Heteromyidae
Product: U11 spliceosomal RNA
Exons: 1
Source: RefSeq, a predicted model, not a curated record